GGGCCCGUAGCUCAGGGGUAGAGCGCCUGCCUUGCACGCAGGAGGCCUCGGGUUCAAAUCCCGACGGGUCCA
RNAcentral lists this transfer RNA (72 nucleotides) under Candidatus Woesearchaeota archaeon. Its description in RNAcentral is "tRNA-Ala". It matches the Rfam family "tRNA". From Rfam's summary of the family: Transfer RNA (tRNA) molecules are approximately 80 nucleotides in length. The record is from RNAcentral. Lineage: Archaea; Nanobdellati; Candidatus Woesearchaeota.